UGCUGUAAUCAUAUUACAUUUCAGCAAAGUAGAGGUGGGCCUGGUUAGCAUUUGGAUGGGAGACCUCUGACGAACCCCAAGGUUGAUGCAGGAA
This is a ribosomal RNA of Chelonoidis abingdonii (Abingdon island giant tortoise), 94 nucleotides long. Lineage: Eukaryota; Metazoa; Chordata; Testudines; Testudinidae. The record is from Ensembl.